AGUGAACGCUGGCGGUAGGCCUAACACAUGCAAGUCGAACGGCAGCACAGUAAGAGCUUGCUCUUACGGGUGGCGAGUGGCGGACGGGUGGGGAAUACAUCGGAAUCAACUUUUCCGGGGGGGAAAGCGAAGGGAAACUUACGCUAAAACGGCUAACGCCCUACGGGUGAAAGAAGGGGAUUUUCGGACCUUGCGCGAUUGAAUGAGCCGAUGUCGGAUUAGCUAGUUGGCGGGGUAAAGGCCCACCAAGGCGACGAUCCGUAGCUGGUCUGAGAGGAUGAUCAGCCACACUGGAACUGAGACACGGUCCAGACUCCUACGGGAGGCAGCAGUGGGGAAUAUUGGACAAUGGGCGCAAGCCUGAUCCAGCCAUACCGCGUGGGUGAAGAAGGCCUUCGGGUUGUAAAGCCCUUUUGUUGGGAAAGAAAAGCAGCAGGUUAAUACCCCGCUGUUCUGACGGUACCCAAAGAAUAAGCACCGGCUAACUUCGUG
RNAcentral lists this ribosomal RNA (492 nucleotides) under uncultured bacterium. RNAcentral's name for it is "partial 16S ribosomal RNA". It matches the Rfam family "Bacterial small subunit ribosomal RNA", at positions 29 to 507 of the family's 1533-position model. The record is from RNAcentral.